GAUGAACGCUGGCGGCGUGCUUAACACAUGCAAGUCGAACGAAGCACUUCAUAAAGUUACUUUAAGAAGUGACUUAGUGGCGGACGGGUGAGUAACGCGUGGGUAACCUGCCUUACACAGGGGGAUAACAGUUAGAAAUGACUGCUAAUACCGCAUAAAACAGCAGAGUCGCAUGACUCAACUGUCAAAGAUUUAUCGGUGUAAGAUGGACCCGCGUCUGAUUAGCUGGUUGUGGGGUAACGGCCUACCAAGGCGACGAUCAGUAGCCGGCCUGAGAGGGUGAACGGCCACAUUGGGACUGAGACACGGGCCCAAACUCCUACGGGAGGCAGCAGUGGGGAAUAUUGGACAAUGGGCGAAAGCCUGAUCCAGCGACGCCGCGUGAGCGAUGAAGUAUUUCGGUAUGUAAAGCUCUAUCAGCAGGGAAGAAAACGACGGUACCUGACUAAGAAGCCCCGGCUAACUACGUG
This 470-nucleotide ribosomal RNA is filed under the name uncultured bacterium. RNAcentral describes it as "bacterial SSU rRNA". It matches the Rfam family "Bacterial small subunit ribosomal RNA", at positions 28 to 507 of the family's 1533-position model. The record is from RNAcentral.